This 1719-nucleotide ribosomal RNA is filed under the name Triticum aestivum (bread wheat). Its description in RNAcentral is "partial small subunit ribosomal RNA". Lineage: Eukaryota; Viridiplantae; Streptophyta; Magnoliopsida; Poales; Poaceae. The record is from RNAcentral.
AUGGCGCUGUGGACUGGCCUGGGUCAGGCGGCCACGGUGGCACAGCUGGUCGGCGCGGACGUCGGCGGCCUCAUCUCCAUGAUCGUGCAGGCCGCGAUGACGGCUCGUCAGAACAGGAGUGAGUGUGAGCAACUUGCUCGUCGUGUCCUCAUGAUCGCGCAGCUGCUGCCGCACGUGCAGGAGCCAGAGGCGGCGCAGCCGCUGGCCGGGCUGGGCGACAUGCUCCGGGACGCCCACGAGCUCGUCGUGUCGUGCCAAGGGAGGAGCGCGGCGUAUCAGUUCAUCAUGGCUGGCAGGACGGCUGAAAGGUUCAGGGAGGUGCAGAGCAAGAUAGACUCGUACCUCAUCCUCUUCCCUGUGAUCAGCCACAUCGGCAUAACACGCCGCCUCGAACGAAUCUACAACAUACUUGUUCAGGAUGGCUCCACCAGAGAUGAACCGUCGCAUCCACUUCCACAGUCGUCCCAGCUGCAGGAAUCUUUUGUGAUGGCUCAGGAUGCACUACCACAUGGAACCCAGGAAUUUACGUUGGCAGAGAUCGUGGCCGCCACUAAUAACUUUGCCUUUGACACCAAGAUCGGUCAUUGCAGCUCUGGAAGUGUGUACAGGGGCAGGCUUCAUGAUGGACGAGAGGUGGCUGUCAAGUGCAAAAGGAGCUCCUUAUUAGACAAGUGGUAUUCUCAAUCCUUAGAGGACGAGUACCAAAAGGAGCUCGAUAUUCUCUCACGUCUUCGACACAGACAUAUCAUCCGCCUCCUUGGAUCGUAUGUGACCGUGAGCAAGGAGAAGCGCCAGCUAACCACCCCGCAAAAGAAAAAGAAGGGCAUACUAACCAUAAGCAGGCAAAGAAAAGAGCCUACAGAGCCGGAGGGGUUGUUUUUCACAAGAGAAGAGCCAGAGGGGCAUGUACUCGUGUACGAGUACAUGGAGAACGGCACACUCUUCAACCACCUCCACUCUGGUCAGGCUGGUUCCUCCAUGCUGUCGCCAGUGACGGUGUCCUGGAAGAUGCGCAUCAAUGUCCUCCUUGGCGUGUCACACGCCAUCGAGCACUUACACUGUCAUGCCAACCCGCCGAUCAUCCACCGGGACAUCAAGUCAGCUAACAUCCUUUUUGACGCCAGUUGGGUGCCUCGUUUGUCAGACUUUGGCUCCUCGGUUGUAUGGGACAUGGCAACUCAGGAGGAGGGGAUGGAGGUCCCAGUUAUAGGCACAUUUGGGUACCUCGCCCCUGAGUACGCCAUAUAUGGUCUUCUGAAGCCGGCGAGCGACGUGUACAGCCUGGGCGUGGUGAUGCUCGAGGUUCUGACAGGGAAAAGUGCAUAUUCUCAAUUGAAGGAUGAUGGGACAGGUGGACCUUUGACAGACUUCGCACUCCCCAUCAUUGAAGUCGGUAAUAUUGAGGAGUUGUUGGACAGGCGACCUGUACCGGAGCCAACGCCUUGGCAGCUGCAGGUGAUGAAACGGGUGGCGCAGAUUGCAUGGUGCUGCGGGAAGUUGGAUGCGAAGGACCGGCCGGCCAUAUCAGACAUUGUUGCCAACCUCGAGAUGGCGUAUGAGUUAAUCUGCAGAGACGAGCACGGUUCAGUUGACGAGCCAUGUUUGUGGCCCUUCGUCGAACAAGUUGACCUGCCAUCGGACUCGCCACACUCCAGGAGCUCGUCAUCGGCAGGCUACCAUUCCGAGCUGGAAUCUGAGGUGUUGGAGGAGGGGCGUUGA